UUCCGGUUGAUCCUGCCGGACCUGACUGCUAUCGGAUUGAUACUAAGCCAUGCGAGUCAUUGUAGCAAUACAAGGCAGACGGCUCAGUAACGCGUAGUCAACCUACCCUAUGGACGGGGAUAACCUCGGGAAACUGAGAAUAAUACCCGAUAGAACAUUAUACCUGGAAUGGUUUAUGUUUCAAAUAAUUUAUUGCCGUAGGAUGGGACUGCGGCCUAUCAGUUUGUUGGUGAGGUAAUGGCCCACCAAGACUAUUACAGGUACGGGCUCUGAGAGGAGUAGCCCGGAGAUGGGUACUGAGACACGGACCCAGGCCCUAUGGGGCGCAGCAGGCGAGAAAACUUUGCAAUGUGCGAAAGCACGACAAGGUUAAUCCGAGUGGUUUCUGCUAAAGGAACCUUUUGUUAGUCAUAGAACCACUAAUGAAUAAGGGGUGGGCAAGUUCUGGUGUCAGCCGCCGCGGUAAAACCAGCACCUCAAGUGGUCAGGAUGAUUAUUGGGCCUAAAGCAUCCGUAGCCUGCUUUGUUAGUUUUCGGUUAAAUCCAUACGCUCAACGUAUGGGCUGCCGGGAAUACUGCAAAGCUAGGGAGUGGGAGAGGUAGACGGUACUCGGUAGGAAGGGGUAAAAUCCUUUGAUCUAUUGAUGACCACCUGUGGCGAAGGCGGUCUACCAGAACACGUCCGACGGUGAGGGAUGAAAGCUGGGGGAGCAAACCGGAUUAGAUACCCGGGUAGUCCCAGCUGUAAACUAUGCAAACUCGGUGAUGCAUUGGCUUGAUGCCAAUGCAGUGCCGCAGGGAAGCCGUUAAGUUUGCCGCCUGGGAAGUACGUACGCAAGUAUGAAACUUAAAGGAAUUGGCGGGGGAGCACCACAAGGGGUGAAGCCUGCGGUUCAAUUGGAUUCAACGCCGGG
This 914-nucleotide ribosomal RNA is filed under the name uncultured marine archaeon TS235C306. RNAcentral describes it as "bacterial SSU rRNA". It matches the Rfam family "Archaeal small subunit ribosomal RNA", at positions 1 to 922 of the family's 1478-position model. The record is from RNAcentral.